Molecule: transfer RNA, 72 nt
Filed under: Candidatus Woesearchaeota archaeon
Lineage: Archaea; Nanobdellati; Candidatus Woesearchaeota
Also listed under: 1 other name
Description: tRNA-His
Rfam family: tRNA
About the family: Transfer RNA (tRNA) molecules are approximately 80 nucleotides in length. Their secondary structure includes four short double-helical elements and three loops (D, anti-codon, and T loops). Further hydrogen bonds mediate the characteristic L-shaped molecular structure. tRNAs have two regions of fundamental functional importance: the anti-codon, which is responsible for specific mRNA codon recognition, and the 3' end, to which the tRNAs corresponding amino acid is attached (by aminoacyl-tRNA synthetases). tRNAs cope with the degeneracy of the genetic code in two manners: having more than one tRNA (with a specific anti-codon) for a particular amino acid; and 'wobble' base-pairing, i.e. permitting non-standard base-pairing at the 3rd anti-codon position.
Source: RNAcentral
GCGGAUGUGGUGUAACGGCUAGCAUGGGAGCCUGUGGAGCUCCAGGAGCGGGUUCGACUCCCGCCAUUCGCC